RNAcentral lists this ribosomal RNA (406 nucleotides) under uncultured bacterium. Its description in RNAcentral is "partial 16S ribosomal RNA". It matches the Rfam family "Bacterial small subunit ribosomal RNA", at positions 28 to 526 of the family's 1533-position model. The record is from RNAcentral.
GACGAACGCUGGCGGCGUGCCUAAUACAUGCAAGUAGGACGAGUUGCGAACGGGUGAGAAACGCGUGGUGAACUACCUACUAGAGGGGGAUAACAAUUGGAAACGGUAGCUAAUACAGCAUACCCUGGUAUGUGCCCAGAUGGGAUUAGCAAUUAGGUGCGGUAACGGCUCACCUAGGCUACGCUGCCUAGCUGGUCGGAGAGGGUGACCGGCCACACUGGAACUGAGACACGGUCCAGACUCCUACGUGAGGCAGCAGUAGGGAAGCGUGGACAAUGGGCGCAAGCCUGAUGCAGCAAGGCCGCGUGUGUGAAGAAGGCCUUCGGGUUGUAAAGUACUGUCGGCGAGGAGGCGUUACUUGCAGAAGAAGCACCGGCUAACUCCGUGCCAGCAGCCGCGGUAAUUC